Long non-coding RNA from Saccostrea cuccullata (small rock oyster), 124 nucleotides. RefSeq lists it as uncharacterized. The transcript is spliced from 2 exons. The record is from RefSeq and is a predicted model, not a curated record. NCBI's taxonomy places the organism in Eukaryota, Metazoa, Mollusca, Bivalvia, Ostreida, Ostreidae.
UGAUGACGUCACAGUGACCGGAAGCGGCCAUACUGUAUUCCUUACUUAGGACCACUGUCAUCAUAAUCAUCAUAAUUUUUGAAUACUCAUUCAAAUCAAGAAUAAAAGAACUACGAGAACAUUA